GGGGUUGUAGCUCAGCUGGUUAGAGCGUCUGCCUGUCACGCAGAAGGUCGCGGGUUCGAGCCCCGUCAAUCCCGCCA
RNAcentral lists this transfer RNA (77 nucleotides) under Alphaproteobacteria bacterium. Its description in RNAcentral is "tRNA-Asp". It matches the Rfam family "tRNA". From Rfam's summary of the family: Transfer RNA (tRNA) molecules are approximately 80 nucleotides in length. Their secondary structure includes four short double-helical elements and three loops (D, anti-codon, and T loops). Lineage: Bacteria; Pseudomonadati; Pseudomonadota; Alphaproteobacteria. RNAcentral also lists the same sequence under 1 other name. The record is from RNAcentral.